UGACUAGAUACAUACUCGUCU
This 21-nucleotide microRNA is filed under the name Apis mellifera (honey bee). The record is from RNAcentral. RNAcentral also lists the same sequence under 1 other name. Lineage: Eukaryota; Metazoa; Arthropoda; Insecta; Hymenoptera; Apidae.